Molecule: ribosomal RNA, 468 nt
Filed under: uncultured bacterium
Lineage: Bacteria
Description: partial 16S ribosomal RNA
Rfam family: Bacterial small subunit ribosomal RNA
Source: RNAcentral
GACGAACGCUGGCGGCGUGCUUAACACAUGCAAGUCGAACGGAAAGGCCCUGCUUUUGUGGGGUGCUCGAGUGGCGAACGGGUGAGUAACACGUGAGUAACCUGCCCUUGACUUUGGGAUAACUUCAGGAAACUGGGGCUAAUACCGGAUAGGAGCUCCUGCUGCAUGGUGGGGGUUGGAAAGUUUCGGCGGUUGGGGAUGGACUCGCGGCUUAUCAGCUUGUUGGUGGGGUAGGGGCUGACCAAGGCUUUGACGGGUAGCCGGCCUGGGAGGGUGACCGGCCACAUUGGGACUGAGAUACGGCCCAGACUCCUACGGGAGGCAGCAGUGGGGAAUAUUGCACAAUGGGCGGAAGCCUGAUGCAGCAACGCCGCGUGCGGGAUGACGGCCUUCGGGUUGUAAACCGCUUUCGCCUGUGACGAAGCGUGAGUGACGGUAAUGGGUAAAGAAGCACCGGCUAACUACGUG